This 490-nucleotide ribosomal RNA is filed under the name uncultured bacterium. Its description in RNAcentral is "partial 16S ribosomal RNA". It matches the Rfam family "Bacterial small subunit ribosomal RNA", at positions 29 to 505 of the family's 1533-position model. The record is from RNAcentral.
AGUGAACGCUGGCGGUAGGCCUAACACAUGCAAGUCGAACGGCAGCACAGUAAGAGCUUGCUCUUACGGGUGGCGAGUGGCGGACGGGUGAGGAAUACAUCGGAAUCUACUUUUUCGUGGGGGAUAACGUAGGGAAACUUACGCUAAUACCGCAUACGACCUACGGGUGAAAGCAGGGGAUCUUCGGACCUUGCGCGAUUGAAUGAGCCGAUGUCGGAUUAGCUAGUUGGCGGGGUAAAGGCCCACCAAGGCGACGAUCCGUAGCUGGUCUGAGAGGAUGAUCAGCAACACUGGAACUGAGACACGGGCCAGACUACUACGGGAGGCAGCAGUGGGGAAUAUUGGACAAGGGGCGCAAGCCUGAUCCAGCCAUACCGCGUGGGUGAAGAAGGCCUUCGGGUUGGAAAGCCCUUUUGUUGGGAAAGAAAAGCAGCAGGUUAAUACCCCGCUGUUCUGACGGGACCCAAAGAAUAAGCACCGGCUAACUGCG